Molecule: ribosomal RNA, 460 nt
Filed under: uncultured bacterium
Lineage: Bacteria
Description: partial 16S ribosomal RNA
Rfam family: Bacterial small subunit ribosomal RNA
Source: RNAcentral
CCUACGGGUGGCAGCAGUGAGGAAUCUUGGUCAAUGGCCGUAAGGCUGACCCAGCCACGUCGCGUGAGGGAAGACUGCCCUAUGGGUUGUAAACCUCUUUUAUGCGGGGAUAAAUGUGUCCACGUGUGGAUGUUUGCAGGUACCGCAUGAAUAAGGACCGGCUAAUUCCGUGCCAGCAGCCGCGGUAAUACGGAAGGUCCGUGCGUUAUCCGGAUUUAUUGGGUUUAACGGGAGCGUAGGCCGGUCUUUAAGCGUGCCGUGAAAUUUUGUGGCUCAACCAUGAGAGUGCGGCGCGAACUGGAGACCUUGAGUGCGCGGAAGGCAGGCGGAAUUCGUGGUGUAGCGGUGAAAUGCUUAGAGAUAAGGAAGAACCCCGAUGGCGAAGGCAGCCUGCUGCAGCGUAACUGACGCUGAAGCUCGAAAGCGCGGGGAUCGAACAGGAUUAGAUACCCGAGUAGUC